RNAcentral lists this ribosomal RNA (297 nucleotides) under uncultured Synechococcus sp. Its description in RNAcentral is "partial 16S ribosomal RNA". It matches the Rfam family "Bacterial small subunit ribosomal RNA", at positions 1239 to 1533 of the family's 1533-position model. The record is from RNAcentral. Lineage: Bacteria; Bacillati; Cyanobacteriota; Cyanophyceae; Synechococcales; Synechococcaceae.
ACAAAGAGCAGCAAGUUCGCGAGGACAAGCAAAUCUCAUAAACCGUGGCUCAGUUCAGAUCGUAGGCUGCAACUCGCCUACGUGAAGGAGGAAUCGCUAGUAAUCGCAGGUCAGCAUACUGCGGUGAAUACGUUCCCGGGCCUUGUACACACCGCCCGUCACACCAUGGAAGUUGGCCACGCCCGAAGUCGUUACUCCAACCCUUGUGGAGGAGGACGCCGAAGGUGGGGCUGAUGACUGGGGUGAAGUCGUAACAAGGUAGCCGUACCGGAAGGUGCGGCUGGAUCACCUCCUAAC